RNAcentral lists this unclassified non-coding RNA (257 nucleotides) under uncultured Spizellomycetales. Its description in RNAcentral is "sequence contains ITS2". The record is from RNAcentral. Lineage: Eukaryota; Fungi; Chytridiomycota; Chytridiomycetes; Spizellomycetales.
AAAAUAUCUUGAUAUGUAGCGCUUAGCAUAAUUUUUUUUAUGCAAGGCAUGUCAUAUUAAGGAUGUUGAGUGUUAUUUUGCCAGCCUGAGGCUGUCAAUGACUCGUAAAUGAUUGUAUGUGACGCUGCAAUAGUAUUUUGUGUGCAGAUUAAGUGCAACAGAGUAUAUCUAUUCACUUAGACCGCGUGCAUAUUUGCUAGUGCCGAAGCAUAUUUCCAAACAUACCAGUAAUUAUGCUGUGGUAUAAUUGCUGAUAA